UUUCCGUAGGUGAACCAGCGGAAGGAUCAUUACUGAGUGAGGGCCCCUCGGGGUCCAACCUCCCACCCGUGUUUAACGAACCUUGUUGCUUCGGCGGGCCCGCCUCACGGCCGCCGGGGGGCAUCUGCCCCCGGGCCCGCGCCCGCCGAAGCCACCUGUGAACGCUGUCUGAAGUAUGCAGUCUGAGACAAUUAUUAAAUUAAUUAAAACUUUCAACAACGGAUCUCUUGGUUCCG
Molecule: unclassified non-coding RNA, 236 nt
Filed under: plant metagenome
Description: partial contains small subunit ribosomal RNA, internal transcribed spacer 1, and 5.8S ribosomal RNA
Source: RNAcentral